Molecule: ribosomal RNA, 235 nt
Filed under: uncultured bacterium
Lineage: Bacteria
Description: partial 16S ribosomal RNA
Rfam family: Bacterial small subunit ribosomal RNA
Source: RNAcentral
GAUCCUGGCUCAGGAUGAACGCUAGCGACAGGCUUAACACAUGCAAGUCGAGGGGCAGCAUGAUUUGUAGCAAUACAGAUUGAUGGCGGCCGGCGCACGGGUGAGUAACGCGUACGCAACUUACCUAUCAGAGGGGGAUAGCCCGGCGAAAGUCGGAUUAAUACCCCAUAAAACAGGGGUCCCGCAUGGGAAUAUUUGUUAAAGAUUCAUCGCUGAUAGAUAGGCAUGCGUUCCA